RNAcentral lists this microRNA precursor (89 nucleotides) under Pelobates cultripes (western spadefoot toad). Lineage: Eukaryota; Metazoa; Chordata; Amphibia; Anura; Pelobatidae. The record is from RNAcentral.
CCAGAUGUUGCUGAACUACAACUCCCAUGAUUCUCAGCCUAACUAUUUAAUUCAUAGAAUCAUGGGAGUUGUAGUUCAGCAACAUCUGG